RNAcentral lists this transfer RNA (72 nucleotides) under Camelus bactrianus (Bactrian camel). It matches the Rfam family "tRNA". From Rfam's summary of the family: Transfer RNA (tRNA) molecules are approximately 80 nucleotides in length. Their secondary structure includes four short double-helical elements and three loops (D, anti-codon, and T loops). Lineage: Eukaryota; Metazoa; Chordata; Mammalia; Artiodactyla; Camelidae. The record is from Rfam by way of RNAcentral. RNAcentral also lists the same sequence under 2 other names.
GAGGGUAUAGCUCAGUGGUAGAGUGCAUGCUUAGCAUGCAUAAGGUCAUGGGUUCAAUCUCCAGUACCUCUA